UGGUCACUCAUGUGGAGGGAGGACUCCGAAUCGGAAAGGGUCAAAUCCCUGCAAGACAGGGCAGAGAGGAAGAAAGGGACACAUACAGGAGAGGGGGAUGGGAGAAAGGUGAAGAGGAGAGAGGAACAGCGUGAGAAGACAAGGCGAGGUGGGAAGUGGGUAUGGAAAGAGGUAGGAGGGAGAAAAGAGGAUGAACAGGCAGGUAGGCAAGAAAGAAGGAUGAGAAACGGAAGUUGAGCAGGCCGUAAAUACAGGAUAAGAGAUGAGGCAGGAAUAGGGAAUGGGGACAGGUUGGGGAAGAGAUGGAGAGGAGAGUAAAAUCAGGGAAAAAGAAAGGCAAAAGGAG
Molecule: long non-coding RNA, 346 nt
Organism: Ailuropoda melanoleuca (giant panda)
Lineage: Eukaryota; Metazoa; Chordata; Mammalia; Carnivora; Ursidae
Exons: 2
Source: RefSeq, a predicted model, not a curated record